GCGACACUGUGUGUUGUUGGGUAGGGGAGCGUUCUGUAAGCCUGUGAAGGUGGCCUGUGAGGGUUGCUGGAGGUAUCAGAAGUGCGAAUGCUGACAUAAGUAACGAUAAAGCGGGUGAAAAGCCCGCUCGCCGGAAGACCAAGGGUUCCUGUCCAACGUUAAUCGGGGCAGGGUGAGUCGACCCCUAAGGCGAGGCCGAAAGGCGUAGUCGAUGGGAAACAGGUUAAUAUUCCUGUACUUGGUGUUACUGCGAAGGGGGGACGGAGAAGGCUAUGUUGGCCGGGCGACGGUUGUCCCGGUUUAAGCGUGUAGGCUGUUUUUCCAGGCAAAUCCGGAAAAUCAAGGCUGAGGCGUGAUGACGAGGCACUAAGGUGCUGAAGUAACAAAUGCCCUGCUUCCAGGAAAAGCCUCUAAGCAUCAGGUAACAUCAAAUCGUACCCCAAACCGACACAGGUGGUCAGGUAGAGAAUACCAAGGCGCUUGAGAGAACUCGGGUGAAGGAACUAGGCAAAAUGGUGCCGUAACUUCGGGAGAAGGCACGCUGAUAUGUAGGUGAAGUGAUUUACUCAUGGAGCUGAAAUCAGUCGAAGAUACCAGCUGGCUGCAACUGUUUAUUAAAAACACAGCACUGUGCAAACACGAAAGUGGACGUAUACGGUGUGACGCCUGCCCGGUGCCGGAAGGUUAAUUGAUGGGGUUAGCGGUAACGCGAAGCUCUUGAUCGAAGCCCCGGUAAACGGCGGCCGUAACUAUAACGGUCCUAAGGUAGCGAAAUUCCUUGUCGGGUAAGUUCCGACCUGCACGAAUGGCGUAAUGAUGGCCAGGCUGUCUCCACCCGAGACUCAGUGAAAUUGAACUCGCUGUGAAGAUGCAGUGUACCCGCGGCAAGACGGAAAGACCCCGUGAACCUUUACUAUAGCUUGACACUGAACAUUGAGCCUUGAUGUGUAGGAUAGGUGGGAGGCUUUGAAGUGUGGACGCCAGUCUGCAUGGAGCCGACCUUGAAAUACCACCCUUUAAUGUUUGAUGUUCUAACGUGGGCCCCUUAUCGGGGUUGCGGACAGUGUCUGGUGGGUAGUUUGACUGGGGCGGUCUCCUCCUAAAGAGUAACGGAGGAGCACGAAGGUUGGCUAAUCCUGGUCGGACAUCAGGAGGUUAGUGCAAUGGCAUAAGCCAGCUUGACUGCGAGCGUGACGGCGCGAGCAGGUGCGAAAGCAGGUCAUAGUGAUCCGGUGGUUCUGAAUGGAAGGGCCAUCGCUCAACGGAUAAAAGGUACUCCGGGGAUAACAGGCUGAUACCGCCCAAGAGUUCAUAUCGACGGCGGUGUUUGGCACCUCGAUGUCGGCUCAUCACAUCCUGGGGCUGAAGUAGGUCCCAAGGGUAUGGCUGUUCGCCAUUUAAAGUGGUACGCGAGCUGGGUUUAGAACGUCGUGAGACAGUUCGGUCCCUAUCUGCCGUGGGCGCUGGAGAACUGAGGGGGGCUGCUCCUAGUACGAGAGGACCGGAGUGGACGCAUCACUGGUGUUCGGGUUGUCAUGCCAAUGGCACUGCCCGGUAGCUAAAUGCGGAAGAGAUAAGUGCUGAAAGCAUCUAAGCACGAAACUUGCCCCGAGAUGAGUUCUCCCUGAGACUUUAAGUCUCCUGAAGGAACGUUGAAGACGACGACGUUGAUAGGCCGGGUGUGUAAGCGCAGCGAUGCGUUGAGCUAACCGGUACUAAUGAACCGUGAGGCUUAACCUU
This 1740-nucleotide ribosomal RNA is filed under the name Escherichia coli. RNAcentral's name for it is "partial 23S ribosomal RNA". It matches the Rfam family "Bacterial large subunit ribosomal RNA", at positions 1208 to 2925 of the family's 2925-position model. The record is from RNAcentral. Lineage: Bacteria; Pseudomonadati; Pseudomonadota; Gammaproteobacteria; Enterobacterales; Enterobacteriaceae.